AYYUKUGGYGGUUGCCAACAGGUUUUGMGGGGGAAAUACCCCCCCCAACACCKGGGGUGAUGGGCCACAUUUUUUUCCGMGAAAAUGACUCCCCCAGCAKCUUGUGAGAUGGCCCAGAUCGUUUACCGUGAAAAAAUUAGAGUGUUCAAAGCGGGCAGAUACUUUUUCCUGCCACCGAAUACAUUAGCAUGGGAUAAUGGAAUAGGACCCUGACCUCCUAUUUUCAGUUGGUUUUGUACUUACAGCGAGGUUCAUAUCAGGGUAAUGAUUAAUAGGGAUAGUUGGGGGCAUUAAUAUUUAAUUGUCAGAGGUGAAAUUCUUGGAUUUAUGAAAGAUUAACUUCUGCGAAAGCGUUUGCCAAGGAUGUUUUCAUUAAUCAAGAACGAAAGUUAGGGGAUCGAAGACGAUCAGAUACCGUCGUAGUCUUAACCCUUAACGAUGCCCCCCAGYGWUUAGGAGACGWUGAAUCCCCAACACCGCUAUUGAUCCGCCAGAGCUAAUCCGUUAU
RNAcentral lists this ribosomal RNA (508 nucleotides) under Acanthamoeba sp. RNAcentral describes it as "partial 18S ribosomal RNA". It matches the Rfam family "Eukaryotic small subunit ribosomal RNA", at positions 649 to 1092 of the family's 1831-position model. Lineage: Eukaryota; Discosea; Longamoebia; Acanthamoebidae. The record is from RNAcentral.